RNA transcript from Hipposideros armiger (great roundleaf bat), 1069 nucleotides. It is a transcript of the gene named N(4)-(beta-N-acetylglucosaminyl)-L-asparaginase pseudogene, with no coding region annotated. Lineage: Eukaryota; Metazoa; Chordata; Mammalia; Chiroptera; Hipposideridae. The transcript has a single exon. The record is from RefSeq and is a predicted model, not a curated record.
AUGGCGCGGAUGUCAAACCUUGUGCUCUUCAUACGGUUCCUGCUCAGCCCAGCUCUCGUGCGCAGCUCCAGCCCCCUCCCCCUGGUCCUCAACACUUGGCCUUUUAAGAAUGCAACCGAAGCAGUGUGGAGUACAUUAGCGUCUGGAGGUUCCCCCCUGGAUGCUGUGGAGAGGGGCUGUGCUGUGUGUGAGAGGGAGCAGUGUGAUGGAACUGUCGGCUUUGGAGGAAGUCCUGAUGAGUUUGGAGAAACCACACUAGAUGCCAUGAUCAUGGAUGGCACUACUAUGAAUGUAGGAGUAGUAGAAGAUCUUAGACGAAUUAAAAAUGCUAUUGGUGUGGCAAGAAAAGUACUGGAACAUACAACACACACACUUUUAGUAGGAGAGUCAGCCACCAAGUUUGCCGAAAGUAUGGGGUUUGUCAAUGAGGAUUUAUCUACCAAUACUUCUCAAGUUCUUCAUUCAGACUGGCUUGCUCGGAAUUGCCAGCCAAAUUAUUGGAGGAAUGUUAUACCAGAUGCUUCAAAAUACUAUGGACCUUACAAACCACCGAGUAUCUUAAAGCAAGAUGGUUCUACCUAUAAAGAAACAGGCGAUAAUUAUGGUCAUGAUACUAUUGGCAUGGUUGUAAUCCAUAAGAUGGGACGCACUGCUGCUGGUACAUCUACAAAUGGUAUAAAAUUCAAAAUACAUGGUUGAAUAGGAGAUUCGCCGAUACCUGGAGCUGGGGCCUAUGCUGAUGAUACUGCGGGAGCAGCUGCAGUCACUGGGGAUGGGGACAUACUGAUGCGUUUUCUACCAAGCUACCAAGCUGUAGAAUAUAUGAGAACAGGAGAAAAUCCAACCAUAGCUUGCCAAAAAGUGAUUUCAAGAAUUCAUAAGUACUUUCCGUAGUUUUUUGGGGCUGUUAUAUGUGCCAAUGUGACUGGAAGUUAUGGUGCUGCAUGCAAUAAACUACCAACAUUUACUCAGUUUAGUUUCAUGGUUUAUAAUUCUCAAAAAGAUCAGCCAACUGAGGAAAAAGUAGACUGCAUCUAAUCCAUCUUUUCUGUCAGCAUCUAUAUUUAAA